AGCACCAUCGAGCAUCUACUAUUUUACCCAUGUAUAUAUACGCACAUACAUAUAGAUAUCUAGGUUCAAUAUAAUUAUAUUUUGUUGACAAAUUGGAUUUUACAGGGUAACAAAGCCUUGAAAAUUGUGUUUGUUCUUUUUUUUUCUCUAAAGGCUCAUAUACCGUCUGUCCUAGCGGUAUUUCCAAUAUUGUUUAGGUCGAGGGAAAAUCGAUGGAUGCGGCUUUCUGGUUUCCUUGGUCCAGUAUAGAUUGUGUCUUUAGGGUCUGAGUGUCUAGAUUUAGGAUAUUGAUUUUGAAGUGCGGUAAUAUAUCCUAAUAAUCGUAUCAUGCAAUCUUUGUAAGCAUCGAAGUAGUUUGGUUAUAUGUAAAUGCUUCUUGUCGAGCGACCGACACUGGUACAUUUUCAGUAUUUAAAAAAAAAAUUAAAACCACAGGAAAUACACAGCAAAUUAUAUACAGCACAUCACAGAAUUUAUCUCAUCACAGAAAAAUGUAUCUCAUCACAGAAAAAUACAUAUAAAGCCGCAUCACAUCACAUCAUUUAAAGCAUACAAAUGUAUAUAAGCCGCAUCAUAUAAAGCAUAUAAAGAAUACAAAUGUAUCUCACUUCACGACAUAGAUUACAAAGUGCCAAAAUUUCAUAGAAGCAUACAAAGAAUACAAAUGUAUCUCAUUUCAAGUUUGAAUAUCUAUUGUGGUGAGUGAACCCUAGACACGACUUGUUGCACGCGUUCGUAGAAGUCCCCACUAGGCUUGAUGACCUCAUUGUUUAUGAGAUGGGCGAACUCCCUUUGAAUGUUAUAGACGAUCCAUUUUGGUCGGUGUCCCAUUGUCAUUCGGGGCCGCCAGUGCUCUUCCAUCGCCGUGACUAACCCCUUCCACUC
RNAcentral lists this long non-coding RNA (885 nucleotides) under Brachypodium distachyon (stiff brome). Its description in RNAcentral is "long non-coding RNA (BDIS_LNC001786)". The record is from RNAcentral. Lineage: Eukaryota; Viridiplantae; Streptophyta; Magnoliopsida; Poales; Poaceae.